AUUGAACGCUGGCGGCAUGCUUUACACAUGCCAGUCGAACGGCAGCGCGGGCUUCGGCCUGGCGGCGAGUGGCGAACGGGUGAGUAAUGCAUCGGAACGUGCCCAGUAGUGGGGGAUAGCCCGGCGAAAGCCGGAUUAAUACCGCAUACGACCUGAGGGUGAAAGCGGGGGACCGAAAGGCCUCGCGCUAUUGGAGCGGCCGAUGUCGGAUUAGCUAGUUGGUGGGGUAAAGGCUUACCAAGGCGACGAUCCGUAGCUGGUCUGAGAGGACGACCAGCCACACUGGGACUGAGACACGGCCCAGACUCCUACGGGAGGCAGCAGUGGGGAAUUUUGGACAAUGGGGGCAACCCUGAUCCAGCCAUGCCGCGUGCGGGAAGAAGGCCUUCGGGUUGUAAACCGCUUUUGUUCGGGAAGAAAUCCUCUGGGCUAAUACCCCAGGGGGAUGACGGUACCGGAAGAAUAAGCACCGGCUAACUACGUG
RNAcentral lists this ribosomal RNA (484 nucleotides) under uncultured bacterium. RNAcentral's name for it is "partial 16S ribosomal RNA". It matches the Rfam family "Bacterial small subunit ribosomal RNA", at positions 28 to 507 of the family's 1533-position model. The record is from RNAcentral.